AAACACAUUAAGGAAUCGUCAUAAAUAACUGUCAAAUACAGUAAUUGUUUUUCUAAUCCUACCGUUUGGGACGUUUGUCAGAAUCAAUAGGUUAAAUAAUCGUGUAAUGUCAACUGGAAGUGCAUCUAAAGCAUGGCAGUAUUUUACACGAGAUAAAGAAAAAGAAUCUGCCACUUGCAGUAAAUGCCAUGCAACUAUAAUGUGUGAAGGAUUUUUAACAAGUGGACUUCUUUGUCAUUUAAAAAAUCUUCAUAAGGAAGUGGAAAUUAAAGUAAGUAAAAAAAGACCAAAUGAAGACACAGAUUUGGAAGUUAGAAAUGUUCAACAUAAAAUUAC
RNAcentral lists this long non-coding RNA (336 nucleotides) under Androctonus crassicauda. Lineage: Eukaryota; Metazoa; Arthropoda; Arachnida; Scorpiones; Buthidae. The record is from RNAcentral.